UGGGGAAUAUUGCACAAUGGGCGCAAGCCUGAUGCAGCGACGCCGCGUGAGGGAUGACGGCCUUCGGGUUGUAAACCUCUUUCGCCAGGGACGAAGCGCAAGUGACGGUACCUGGAUAAGAAGCACCGGCUAACUACGUGCCAGCAGCCGCGGUAAUACGUAGGGUGCGAGCGUUGUCCGGAUUUAUUGGGCGUAAAGAGCUCGUAGGCGGUUUGUCGCGUCGGCCGUGAAAUCUCCACGCUUAACGUGGAGCGUGCGGUCGAUACGGGCAGACUGGAGGUAUGCAGGGGAGAACGGAAUUCCUGGUGUAGCGGUGAAAUGCGCAGAUAUCAGGAGGAACACCGAUGGCGAAGGCAGGUCUCUGGGCUGACACUGACGCUCAUGCACGAAAGCGUGGGGAGCAAACAGGAUUAGAUACC
This 419-nucleotide ribosomal RNA is filed under the name uncultured bacterium. RNAcentral describes it as "bacterial SSU rRNA". It matches the Rfam family "Bacterial small subunit ribosomal RNA", at positions 355 to 786 of the family's 1533-position model. The record is from RNAcentral.